RNAcentral lists this ribosomal RNA (301 nucleotides) under uncultured bacterium. RNAcentral's name for it is "partial 16S ribosomal RNA". It matches the Rfam family "Bacterial small subunit ribosomal RNA", at positions 509 to 809 of the family's 1533-position model. The record is from RNAcentral.
CAGUAGCCACGGUAAAACGAAGGGAGCAAGCGUUAGUCGGAAUUACUGGGCGUAAAGCGUGCGUAGGCGGUUUGUUAAGUCAGAUGUGAAAUCCCCGAGCUUAACUUGGGAACUGCAUUUGAAACUGGCAAGCUAGAGUCUUGUAGAGGGGGGUAGAAUUCCAGGUGUAGCGGUGAAAUGCGUAGAGAUCUGGAGGAAUACCGGUGGCGAAGGCGGCCCCCUGGACAAAGACUGACGCUCAGGUGCGAAAGCGUGGGGAGCAAACAGGAUUAGAUACCCGAGUAGUCCCUGUCUCUUAUAA